Vicia villosa (hairy vetch) is the source of this 492-nucleotide long non-coding RNA. RefSeq lists it as uncharacterized. The transcript has 4 exons. Lineage: Eukaryota; Viridiplantae; Streptophyta; Magnoliopsida; Fabales; Fabaceae. The record is from RefSeq and is a predicted model, not a curated record.
CACUCACUGCUUCUUUCUUCCUCCUUCCACUUCUUCCUCCUUCUUCCCCUUUCUUCCUGUUUCUUUUUUUUAAAAUCAAAUAGAAACAAGCGAUAAUCCCCGAUAUCGGAUCUGAUUUUUUUGUAUUCUUUUGUACAGCAACAACAUUUAUAAAUGACUCUAGAUUCUGGUUCUUUACACCAAAGUGGUUGUUGUUGAAGGCCCCCAGCCUCAGGAAGACCCAUAAUAAUAAUAAUGGAAAUCAGAAUUAUUUUCAACCAGCAUAAGGUUCUUUAGGUUUGAUCUAUGGGUUUCUAACUUCUUUAGGCUUGGGAAGGACAAAUUUAUGUCUUCUGAAUGGGAAGGACAGGCUCAUUGAUCAGUCACAUUGUUGAUAUUUUGAGAGAUUUUCCAAUACCUACUGCAGGAAGUUAGCUGUAAUAGAUACUACAAGUAGUCAAAAUCAAGAAACAGAUAAAGUUAACUAUCUUAGGGAGGGAUGACUUUUGGUUA